RNAcentral lists this ribosomal RNA (274 nucleotides) under uncultured bacterium. RNAcentral describes it as "partial 16S ribosomal RNA". It matches the Rfam family "Bacterial small subunit ribosomal RNA", at positions 523 to 796 of the family's 1533-position model. The record is from RNAcentral.
AUACGGAGGGUGCAAGCGUUACUCGGAAUCACUGGGCGUAAAGCGCGCGCAGGCGGCUAUUUAAGUUGGAUGUGAAAGCCUACGGCUCAACCGUAGAACUGCAUCCAAAACUAUUUAGCUAGAGUGUGGGAGAGGAAGAUGGAAUUAGUUGUGUAGGGGUAAAAUCCGUAGAGAUAACUAGGAAUACCAAAAGCGAAGGCGAUCUUCUGGAACAGUACUGACGCUGAGGCGCGAAAGCGUGGGGAGCAAACAGGAUUAGAAACCCCGGUAGUCC